UGACCAAUGAAUUUAACAGUAUACCAGUAAAAAAAAGGGGAUAGUGGAGUAUAAUUGAUGACGACUUUAAUAUUGAUUUUUUUUGUAUGUUUUCUAUCUAGUUAUGAGUCACUCAGGCCAUAAUUUGGAUUUAUUAAGAGAACCGUGUUGUCUUAUCCUUUUAGGUUUGAUUAACAUGCAUAAUUUUCUGUGGAACUGUGGGAUUUCUUUUCUUGUCUUUUCUUUUUAUUUUUUUUUUAAUGUUUGCAAUGUAGUCAUAAUACCUCAUGAACUUUUCUUUUGGGUUAAAAUGCUUCAGAUUUGGGUAGAUUAAGGAGGGGAUUUUUCUUGUAUUUAAUUCAUU
This 343-nucleotide unclassified non-coding RNA is filed under the name Hevea brasiliensis (rubber tree). Lineage: Eukaryota; Viridiplantae; Streptophyta; Magnoliopsida; Malpighiales; Euphorbiaceae. The record is from RNAcentral.